Molecule: ribosomal RNA, 436 nt
Filed under: uncultured bacterium
Lineage: Bacteria
Description: bacterial SSU rRNA
Rfam family: Bacterial small subunit ribosomal RNA
Source: RNAcentral
GUCGGCGACCGGCGCACGGUGAGUAACGCGUAUCCAACCUUCCCCAUAGUAGAGGAUAGCCCGGCGAAAGUCGGGAUUAACACUCUAUGUUGUGUCAAUGAGGACAUCUGAAUAACACUAAAGAGUUUAUCGCUAUGGGAUGGGGAUGCGUCUGAUUAGCUUGUUGGCGGGGUAACGGCCACCAAGGCGACGAUCAGUAGGGGUUCUGAGAGGAAGGUCCCCCACAUUGGUACUGAGACACGGACCAAACUCCUACGGGAGGCAGCAGUGAGGAAUAUUGGUCAAUGGGCGCGAGCCUGAACCAGCCAAGUAGCGUGCAGGAUUGACUGCCCUAUGGGUUGUAAACUGCUUUUAUCAGGGAAUAAAGUGAGGCCACGUGUGCCUUUUUGUAUGUACCUGAUGAAUAGGGACCGGCUAAUUCCGUGCCAGCAGCUGC